GGCUCAGAUAAGUCGUCUGGGGUGUGCGAUAAAUGGCGAACGGGUGAGUAACACGUGAGCAACCUGCCCCUGACUCUGGGAUAAGCGCUGGAAACGGCGUCUAAUACUGGAUAUGUGACGUGACCGCAUGGUCUGCGUUUGGAAAGAUUUUUCGAAAUGGGAACUUCCUCGCAGCCUAUCAGCUUGUUGGUGAGGUAAUGGCUCACCAAGGCGUCGACGGGUAGCCGGCCUGAGAGGGUGACCGGCCACACUGGGACUGAGACACGGCCCAGACUCCUACGGGAGGCAGCAGUGGGGAAUAUUGCACAAUAGGCGGAAGUCUGAUGCAGCAACGCCGCGUGAGGGAUGACGGCCUUCGGGUUGUAAACCUCUUUUAGCAGGGAAGAAGCGAAAGUGAGGUACCUGCAGAAAAAGCGCCGGCUAACUACGUGCCAGCAGCCGCGGUAAUACGUAGGGCGCAAGCGUUAUCCGGAAUUAUUGGGCGUAAAGAGCUC
This 494-nucleotide ribosomal RNA is filed under the name Microbacterium oxydans. RNAcentral describes it as "bacterial SSU rRNA". It matches the Rfam family "Bacterial small subunit ribosomal RNA", at positions 70 to 570 of the family's 1533-position model. The record is from RNAcentral. Lineage: Bacteria; Bacillati; Actinomycetota; Actinomycetes; Micrococcales; Microbacteriaceae.